Molecule: long non-coding RNA, 1438 nt
Organism: Sardina pilchardus (European sardine)
Lineage: Eukaryota; Metazoa; Chordata; Actinopteri; Clupeiformes; Clupeidae
Exons: 3
Source: RefSeq, a predicted model, not a curated record
CGCGCAUCGUAGUGCAUGGCGGCGUUGAUGGCUUCAGUAGACUUAGGUGCUGUGUCCACUAAUCACGUUUUUUACACUGAGAGCGUUAAAAAAUGUUUUUCUCGGCGCUUCGAGAAGUGUUUAUUGUUGCUAAGUUACCAAAACCAAAGACGGUUUAGAACGAUGAAGUGACAUUGACGAGCCCGGCGCUGCUCUAAAAGUUGAACAGAUUUCAGCUUUGAGCGCUCUGAGCGAUGCGGUAAAAAACGGUCAGCGACGAGAGCUUUUUUCCGCCCAGGGCGCUCAGCGCUGUGAAUGGGCUACAUACACUUUAUAUUGAAAAUUGUCGCCGUCGGCGCAAAAAAACGCGAUUGGUGGACACGGGGCCUUAACUUAUUGUAUACUUAAACGCUGCCACCAACAACCGAGCCUCAACGGUGCUGGAAAGUUUUCUGGGAGCUGUGGAGGAGUAUGGUUUACCUUCUCGUGUGAGAUCAGACUAAGGUGGUGAAAACAUUGAAGUGGCAACAUUCAUGGUGACUCAAAGAGGGCCAAACUGCAAUUCUCCCAUAACUGGACGUAUUGUACACAACCAGAGGACAGAACACAUGUGGAGAGAUGUCUAUGGAAAUGUUCUGGAACUUGUUCUACAGCGGUGUUCUGCACUCUAGAACACAAUGGUGCUUUGAGCCCGGAUAGCGAGUUAGACCUGUUGGCUACUCACUCCACUGGGUUCUUCUUACCGCAUAUCCAGAGGCAUCUACAGUCUUUCAAAGAAACCUGGAAUAACCGGACUACGGACAGAGUACAACAGAACACCACUCGAACUGUGGCAGCAGCACACGCCACAUGACCAGGAUGCAGGUCCUUUGCAGGUAAAAACUCAGUGUCUUUACACACUUGUGCCUCAAUGAACUACCUGAUUUAAGUUUGGUUUUCAACAAACCCUUAGGCAUAUGAUGACUCUAGGUGCUUCUCAACAUGCCUCCUCGAUCCUCGAUGCUCGAUCCUCGAGGGGCGUUCCCACUGAUCUAUAACUAACACUGGAUAGACUAUCCCAUUGUUUUCGCCCCAUCAUUCUUUAUGUAGAUCAGUGAGGAUCGAGGCCCAAGGCCCGAGGAGCGUGGGAGGACGUUUAAAAGCCCAAAUGAGAGGCACCCAGAGAAUUUAGAUCAUCAUAUCCCUUGCUCUUGGCACAGGCAAAAAGGCUCAUGAUGACUUUGAGGUGGACAGGGAUGGGCCCAGUCACCAUCACCCAGAAGGCAUCAUUGUUCCUGAGAGGCAACUGCCCCGGCCUCUCUUGGCAGAGGAAGUAAGGCGACUUCCAAAUGCCAAUGUUCCAUUUUCUAAAUGCCAAUGUUCCAUUCUGAAGCUUUGCCUAUAUACCACAGUGUGGGUAACACUCUGACAGAUAUUCUGUCCAGUGUGUGAAAUUUAAACCAUUUGUCAUCACAAGAAA